This 245-nucleotide ribosomal RNA is filed under the name uncultured bacterium. RNAcentral describes it as "partial 16S ribosomal RNA". It matches the Rfam family "Bacterial small subunit ribosomal RNA", at positions 524 to 768 of the family's 1533-position model. The record is from RNAcentral.
UACGGAGGGUGCAAGCGUUGUUCGGAAUUACUGGGCGUAAAGGGCGUGUAGGCGGCCGAGCAAGUCGAGCGUGAAAGCCCUCGGCUCAACCGAGGAAGUGCGCCCGAAACUACUCAGCUCGAGUACCGGAGAGGGAGGUGGAAUUCCCGGUGUAGAGGUGAAAUUCGUAGAUAUCGGGAGGAACACCGGUGGCGAAGGCGGCCUCCUGGACGGAUACUGACGCUGAGACGCGAAAGCGUGGGUAG